Molecule: small nuclear RNA, 107 nt
Filed under: Sus scrofa (pig)
Lineage: Eukaryota; Metazoa; Chordata; Mammalia; Artiodactyla; Suidae
Source: RNAcentral
GUGGUCCCUUCGGCAGCACAUAUGCUAAAAUUAGAAUGAUACAGAGAAGAUUAGCAUGGCCCCUGCGCAAGGAUGACAGGCAAAUUCGUGAAGCGUUCCAUAUUUAA